GACACAAGCAAUAUACCGAUCCUCACCUUCUUCCUUGCAAGAAUACAAGGAAAAGGAUUCUCGUCAAGACCAGAGGCAUGGCGAGGAUUGUGCACAACCUGAUGGCGGUCUCGUUCGUGGCUCUUGUGAUGAUUUCUUCCAACUCUCCAUCCUGCCAAGCCUGUAGGCACCCCUACAUACCUCUCUACUCUAUUUGAGCUGCGUGCUCUCGCUGCACUGGCUUAGUUUUAGACAUUUUUUCAUAGAUGAGUUAUGAUUUGAUCAACCACAGCAGUCUUGCUUUAGUAGUGCUAACAUUGCAUUGCGUUGCAUUUGCAUAUCAUGUGCAGGUUUCCCCCCCGGCCCUUGGUGUCGCCCACGGCCACCUUGCUUCCAGCCUCCGAAUAACUACUGUACAAGUGGCCCGAACUGCGCAUAUACAUGUCAGUUAAAAGGACACACGACCUAUAACGCCUACUGCAAACCACCUAAAAGAUCUGAUAACCCGAAGGUGUAUUUGUGCUGCUGCCCACCAUAAAUUUGACUGCCUGGUGCAAGUUUUUUUUAUAAAAAAAGUGAUUCCGAUUCGAUGCGCUGU
This 577-nucleotide long non-coding RNA is filed under the name Setaria viridis. Its description in RNAcentral is "long non-coding RNA (SVIR_LNC009965)". Lineage: Eukaryota; Viridiplantae; Streptophyta; Magnoliopsida; Poales; Poaceae. The record is from RNAcentral.